This 494-nucleotide ribosomal RNA is filed under the name Hungatella hathewayi DSM 13479. RNAcentral's name for it is "bacterial SSU rRNA". It matches the Rfam family "Bacterial small subunit ribosomal RNA", at positions 8 to 502 of the family's 1533-position model. The record is from RNAcentral. Lineage: Bacteria; Bacillati; Bacillota; Clostridia; Lachnospirales; Lachnospiraceae.
AGAGUUCGAUCCUGGCUCAGGAUGAACGCUGGCGGCGUGCUUAACACAUGCAAGUCGAGCGAAGCGAAUCUUCGGAAGUUUUCGGAUGGAAGAGGAUUUGACUUAGCGGCGGACGGGUGAGUAACGCGUGGGUAACCUGCCUUACACUGGGGGAUAACAGUUAGAAAUGACUGCUAAUACCGCAUAAGCGCACAGGGCCGCAUGGCCUGGUGUGAAAAACUCCGGUGGUGUAAGAUGGACCCGCGUCUGAUUAGGUAGUUGGCGGGGUAACGGCCCACCAAGCCGACGAUCAGUAGCCGACCUGAGAGGGUGACCGGCCACAUUGGGACUGAGACACGGCCCAAACUCCUACGGGAGGCAGCAGUGGGGAAUAUUGGACAAUGGGCGAAAGCCUGAUCCAGCGACGCCGCGUGAGUGGAGAAGUAUUUCGGUAUGUAAAGCUCUAUCAGCAGGGAAGAAAAUGACGGUACCUGACUAAGAAGCCCCGGCUAACU